AGGAUCUCAAGAAUCAAGUGUUGACAACUAAUGCUUGGCUAAGAAUUGCGUGGACGGACGAAUUUCUAACCUGGAAUGCCACAGAUUUCAACAAUGUCAAGGAAAUUUUAGUGUCCAGAGGAGAGGUCUGGACUCCCGACCUUCUGGUGGAAAACACAGCUUUCGGUUACAGAGAACUAGGGAUAGAAAAAAUG
Long non-coding RNA from Saccostrea cuccullata (small rock oyster), 194 nucleotides. RefSeq lists it as uncharacterized. The transcript is spliced from 3 exons. The record is from RefSeq and is a predicted model, not a curated record. Lineage: Eukaryota; Metazoa; Mollusca; Bivalvia; Ostreida; Ostreidae.